AGUGAACGCUGGCGGUAGGCCUAACACAUGCAAGUCGAACGGCAGCACAGUAAGAGCUUGCUCUUACGGGUGGCGAGUGGCGGACGGGUGAGGAAUACAUCGGAAUCUACUUUUUCGUGGGGGAUAACGGAGGGAAACUUACGCUAAUACCGCAUACGACCUACGGGGGAAAGCAGGGGAUCUUCUGACCUUGCGCGAUUGAAUGAGCCGAUGUCGGAUUAGAUAGUUGGCGGGGUAAAGGCCCACGAAGUCGACGAUCCGUAGCUGGUCUGAGUGGAUGAUCAGCCACACUGGAACUGAGACACGGUCCAGACUCCUACGGGAGGCAGCAGUGGGGAAUAUUGGACAAUGGGCGCAAGCCUGAUCCAGCCAUACCGCGUGGGUGAAGAAGGCCUUCGGGUUGUAAAGCCCUUUUGUUGGGAAAGAAAAGCAGCAGGUUAAUACCCCGCUGUUCUGACGGUACCCAAAGAAUAAGCACCGGCUAACUUCGUG
Molecule: ribosomal RNA, 492 nt
Filed under: uncultured bacterium
Lineage: Bacteria
Description: partial 16S ribosomal RNA
Rfam family: Bacterial small subunit ribosomal RNA
Source: RNAcentral